This 2993-nucleotide long non-coding RNA is filed under the name Homo sapiens (human). RNAcentral describes it as "uncharacterized LOC105374809, transcript variant 4 (LOC105374809)". The record is from RNAcentral. Lineage: Eukaryota; Metazoa; Chordata; Mammalia; Primates; Hominidae.
AGAAUGAAGAUGGCUUCCUGUCCCGCUAGCGUCACGUCGGGAUCUGCCUUCACCAAGGCCUUCACUCGCGCCAGAGGCAACCUCGAGAGACGAGCCCCAGGCACACUCGUUGGGGCCUGGGGCUGCGAGGCCGCUGCCUCCCCAGCAGGUUUAUUAUAUAGGUAAAUUGCAUGUCAUGGGGAUUUGGUGUACAGAUUAUUUCAUCACCCAGGCCAUUAUAACUACAUUCUUAGAAUGUGAUCCCUUUCAACAUUUCCUGCACCUCUGCUUCUGCACACUACCACCAAAAGACAAGAAAGGCAAGGAGACGUGACUGGAGCAAGAAAAACAGUGUUUUUCACACAAGGAUGUCCACUCCUUGUUGGGAAUGGCUUAAGAUCGACCUGGGAAAGCAAAACAUCGCCAUAUCAUUUGGAGGAAAGGCACUGGUUGGAAGAGCCUGUUGGCGUGGCAAAGCCAAGGUCUUUAAAGUCCUCAGAGAAGGCAGGCAUAGCCACCACUGGAGGACUUCCUGAUAUGUGGUACAGAGACUGAUGAGGGCAUGGGGUGACAACCUUAGGUGCCAACAGCAAGGGGAUGGAUAUACAGGGUAAAGGAGGCUUGCUGCCAUCCUACGCCUUUGAACGCCACAAAUCAGAGAUGGUACCAUGGAGGAACAUGAACAGGUGAGAGCUGAGGCAUGGGUGCCCACACACAGCCCAAGCCCAGGUGCUAACAGUUGACCAUCAGUAGCCCAGUGCCCCGAAUUCAUCCUGCGCCUGAUUAUCACCCAAAAGCAGUGCAUCGGCACCAUUCUGGUGACUCAAUAUCACACAAUGGCACCAGCCAGCAGGAACAAUCCAAUUGCCAGGCUGCCCUCCUGCACAGAGCCCAAGCCACAGAGCCCUCAGAUAACUCCAUUGAUGCAAAUCUCAGAGUUCCUCAAGGAAACAGGUCAACCCUGCACAUGGAGUGGAGAUUCAGAAAGGCCCCAAAAAGGAAAAAAACAAGGAUCAGUGUCCAUGUAUGUCCCUGUAUGGGGCUGCCAUUUGUCCUAACCACCCUGGGGUCUGCCAUAGCUGAGCCAGCCCUACUGGAAGAGGAUAGUCAAAUAACCUCACUCGUAUUCUUUUGCCACUUACUGUGUUGCCCUAGCUUCCCUCCAGGGGAUCCUCAUUUUGUCCUAGGCUCAACCUUACCUUUGAUCACUUUAGGACUCAGGCACAAGAUUUCACAUUGCUGGGAAUCCAUUUUCAGUCUUUGAAAAGACACAGUGAUUCUUCAGGAAGUUUGUUAUCCCAAAGAUGCAACAGAGACAGAAUUUCCCAGCUUGAAGGGAUUUGAAACAUCCAUAAAGUUACAGAAAUUCAUAUCUGGAGGAGUCUUAACGGUCAUUCAGACCAACGCUUUCUCGGGUAUCUAUAACAUCCAAUGCCCUAGUUUCCCUGCUGUCUUUUUUGGCCACUCCUUUUCAAUCUCCUUUGCAGGCUACCCUUUACAGGGCUCAGUCUCCACACUCUUUUGUUCUAGAUUUUCCCCUGGUGACCUCACCGAGGCCUACAGCUUUAAAUACCAUCCAUAUGCUGAUAAUUCCCAAAUUUAUAUUUCCAGUCCCAAGCUCUCCACUGAGUUUCAGGCUCAUAUAUCCAAAUGUCUACUUCUUGCCUUCAGUAUACCUUACAAACCUCUCAAGUUUGACGUGCCUAGAACUGGACUCUGGAUUUUACCUUUUGCCCGUAUCAACAAGUUCCUCUCUUAGUCUUCCAAUCACAGAAAGGGCUCCACCAUCAAGAUGGACAUGAGCCUAAAACCCAAGAAUUCUUGUUUCCUGCCUUCCUUUCCUUCUCUCACAUUCAGUCUCCUGGUAGACUUGUUCAUUUACUUCCACCAUUUCUAUCUACUUCUUUUCAUCUCCAGUGCCAACAUUCUUGUCCAAGCCAUCACUCUCUCUCCCCAAACCACUCCAAUAGCAUCCUAACUGGUUUUCCCUACCCUUAUCUCACCUCAAUCCAUUCUCUGCAUAUUAGCUGGAGUGAUCCUUUCAAGAAGUGAAUACAAACCUUAAAUCUUUCAACAGCCCUCACUGCAUCCAGAAUAAAAUCCAAGCACCUAUAACUGCCUAAUAUGGCUUCUGUCCACAUCUAACCUCAAAUCUUACCUUCUGCCCUUGCUGUGCUCAAGCCUUUCUGGCCUUUCAUUUCCUUAAACACACCAAGCCUUUCCAGCAUCAGAGACUUUACAAUUCUUCCUGGAAUGCUCUUCCACUAAUUUCUUUAGGUCAUAGUUUGUGGUCAUUUGAAAACAUGUCCACAAAUUCUUUUCUAUCCUAAAAAAAGGGGGAAUCCAAUUCCCCUCCUCUUGAACAUGGACUAGCCUCAGUGGCUUGCUACUAAUGAAUUAAAUGGUAUAGAAGUGACUGUAACUUCUUAGACUAGGUGACCAAAGAUGGCACAGCCUCCACCUGGUUCUCUGUCUUGUGAGGCUCACCCUUGGAACCCAGCCAUCAUGCUGUGACAAAGCCAUGUACCACAUGCAGGUGUUUCGGGGAACAGACCUGUCAGAGGUCCUUGCCAACAGCCAACAUCAGUCAGCAUCAACCACUAGACAUGUAAGUGAGGAAGCCUCCAGAUGAUUCCAGUUCCCACCUUCAGCUGAUGUUAGGUGGAGCAGAGACAUGCUGUCCCCACCUGCCUAAACUGCAGAUUCAUGAGUAAUGUAAUUUCUGUCAUUGUUUUAAGCCAUUAAGUUUUGGGGCAGUUUGUCACACAGCAAUAGACAACUGGAACACAGCUCAUAUGCCCCUUCUCAGAACUGCCCUCCCUGAUCAUCCUAAGUGCCCAUUGGCAUUAUCCAUAACCUGAAAAUUAUUAUGAUUGAUCCUAAAGUCCAGCCUGGUGCCUGGCACGUAGGAGAUGCUCAGUGAAUAUUUGUGGAAUGAUUGAAUAAGGAAAUGAAUCCUCUUGUCACAUUUGAAGUUAUCAGUCAUCAAUAAAAUGGGGAUUUGUUUCAUCGUU